Molecule: long non-coding RNA, 1768 nt
Organism: Quercus robur (English oak)
Lineage: Eukaryota; Viridiplantae; Streptophyta; Magnoliopsida; Fagales; Fagaceae
Exons: 2
Source: RefSeq, a predicted model, not a curated record
CUUCCUAGCAUCCCACGUAUCCCAUCCCAAUUUGUCCACAUUUAUUGUCUUCUUUUUGUGCCCCAAAAGUCUCCUUCUUAUCCUAUUUUUCUGGCUGCCUCAGACCAGAAAGUCCAGCAGCUCCUUUUCUUCUUUCUCUAUUCCUCUUUCCUUCUUCUUGUUUCCUUCUUCUCCCCUUCUUACACGGCAGCCUUCCCUCUCUCACCAAAGAAAAAUAUCCCUCUCUAAAGAAGAAAUUAAAGGGCUAACACAAAAAUUUCAGCUUCAAAUUGUUGGGGGUGUUACCAGUAUCCAAGUCUAAGCUCCUUCAACUGUAGGCUCCCGGUUCCUCUGUUUUCAGGUAAGGGAUAAGUUAUAUGGGCAUUUGGUAAGUCAUGAGGUUAUUUUAAAGUAUAUUAUGCAUUAAAAUGUUUUUUAUUAGAGAUAUGACAUGUAAUCAUUAUUCUAACAAAGAUAUGUUCGUGAGCUUUCGAAAAACUUAUGUAUAUGAUUUAAGCAUAUUGAUACUAUUAUUGAUUCCACAAACAUGAUGUUUAAAGAAAAGAAUGGAAAUGCUAUUAUUAUGAAAUGUUAUGCAAAAUAAGAAGUUUUAGUAUGAUGUAAAGUAUGAAGUAUUUGCGGGUUAUAUCCUUUAAUGAUCUGAACUCGGUAGUAGGGGUUAAUUACUGGCUUUCCAUGGAAAAAUGUUAUCUGUUUGGCCAUUUAAAGUAAAGGAAAUGGGGUUGCCCGUAACUCUAAUCUGAAUAAGGUCUUCUCCCCAAUAUGUACGGAAGGCGGGAAGGAACAAAACCUGGAGAGGAUGUGCCAUCAGGCCUCCCAAAGGGGACAAUAUCAUACACACGGGGGCACCCAAAUGUGAUGAGGCCUUCUCUAUACAGACUUAUCAGAUAUGGACUAACCAAUAAGUUAUUUAUGAACAGUUAUAUAUGUUAUUAGUCAUGAGAGAAUGAUUUUGUAUAAAUGCGUUAUGAAAAGUUAAAUGCUCUCAUGAAAAGAAGUUCUGAUAAAAAUAAAAGUUGUUCAUUAAAGAUAAAAGUUUCUGAAGUUCUGUUGUACUAUAAAGUUAAAGCUUCUGAUGAAAUUACAAAUUAUGUUUAAAAGUUAUUAGAUACCUGUUCUUUAUGAAGUGUUAAGUUUUAUGACUAUGAAGGUUAUAAUAUUUUUCAGGAAAAUGUUUAUAAAGAAAGAUUUUCUUAUUGGGUCAAGAUGUUUCUAGUUUAGUACAAAGUUGCCGAUUAUCUGAUUUAAGUUAAAAUGAUUAUUUUGUAAUGAGAAUAUACAUAUGGUGACUUUGUAGGAAAUGAAAUAAGCUUAAUCUGAAAGGUUUUGGUAAUAUUAACCUGAUAAGAAAAAGGAGAACAAUUAUUUUCUAUGAAAAGCGUAUAAGUUAUUAUUAUAAAUAGUAUAAAAUAAUAUGCAUAAAAAGAUGUUCUCCUGUUCGAAUAUUCAUAGAAUGAAAUGAUAUGAUUUACAUGCAUCCUUAUUGAAUUCUCAUAUAUCUUACCUUUACUGAGUUGUGUAGCUCACCUCUUCUACUCUUUCAGUUAGCAGGUUUUAUUUUGGAGCAGAGGGAGCCUUAAUCGAGUUUUGGAAGGAGCUGGUUUAGUUUUAUAUGUAUAGAUCCUAAAUUAGCAAUAUGAUGUUUAGAUUUGUAGCAUUGUUUGUUUUAGGAUCUAAUGAAAGUGUAUACCUUAAAGUAUUAAGAGAUGUAUUAUGUGAAAUUCCGAAUUUGAACAAUUGGUGAAUUAUGUUAUUCUUUGGAGUACAA